Molecule: ribosomal RNA, 424 nt
Filed under: uncultured prokaryote
Description: bacterial SSU rRNA
Rfam family: Bacterial small subunit ribosomal RNA
Source: RNAcentral
UGGGGAAUAUUGGACAAUGGGCGCAAGCCUGAUCCAGCCAUGCCGCGUGGAUGAAGAAGGCCCUAGGGUUGUAAAAUCCUUUCAGCAGGGAAGAUAAUGACGGUACCUGCACAAGAAGCCCCGGCUAAUUUCGUGCCAGCAGCCGCGGUAAUACGAAAGGGGCUAGCGUUGUUCGGAAUUACUGGGCGUAAAGCGCGCGUAGGCGGCCUAGCAAGUUGGGGGUGAAAUCCCGGAGCUCAACUCCGGAACUGCCUUCAAAACUGCUAAGCUUGAGGAUGCGAGAGGAUAGUGGAAUUCCGAGUGUAGAGGUGAAAUUCGUAGAUAUUCGGAAGAACACCAGUGGCGAAGGCGACUGUCUGGCGCAUUUCUGACGCUGAGGCGCGAAAGCGUGGGGAGCAAACAGGAUUAGAUACCCCCGUAGUCC